RNAcentral lists this ribosomal RNA (666 nucleotides) under Triticum aestivum (bread wheat). RNAcentral describes it as "partial small subunit ribosomal RNA". Lineage: Eukaryota; Viridiplantae; Streptophyta; Magnoliopsida; Poales; Poaceae. The record is from RNAcentral.
AUGGCUCCCGCGGCGGCGCGCCUCCUCCUCCUCGUCCUCGCCGUCGCCUCCUCCCUCUCCGUGGGCGCGGACGCCCUCCGGUCUUUGGGCGUCGGCGACGGGGCCACCGCGCAGGGGGACUACGCCGUGGAGCUUGACGCCACCACCUUCGACGCCUUCCUCACGGCCUCCCGGGAGUCCUUCGCCGUCGUCGAGUUCUACGCCCACUGGUGUCCAGCUUGCAGAAACUACAAGCCCCAUUAUGAGAAGGUUGCGAAACUUUUCAACGGUCCAGAUGCUGCACAUCCUGGGAGAGUACUGAUGGCUAGGAUUGAUUGUGCAUCAAAGGUGAACAUAGAUCUUUGCAAUAGAUUUUCUGUUGACCGUUAUCCUUUACUACUUUGGGGGCGCCCACCAAAAUUUGCUAACAUUAAGUGGGACCGGAAGCAAGAGAAAAGCAAAAUAAAAUUGAUUGAUGAUGGAAGAACAGCAGAGCGUUUACUUAAGUGGAUAAAUAAGCAAAUGGAAAGCUUGUUCACUUUGGAUGACAAAAAAUAUGAGAAGGAAAAUGUGCUUCCAAACAAUGCUUCAGAUCUUAAACAGGUUGUUCAAGCAAUUUACAGUGUUGCGGAAGCAACAGCUCAUGCAUUACAGAUAUUUUUGGAGCACAAUGUUCUAGUUCAAUGA